GACGAACGCUGGCGGCGUGCUUAACACAUGCAAGUCGAACGGAAAGGCCCUGCUUUUGUGGGGUGCUCGAGUGGCGAAAGGGUGAGUAACACGUGAGUAACCUGCCCUUGACUUUGGGAUAACUUCAGGAAACUGGGGCUAAUACCGGAUAGGAGCUCCUGCUGCAUGGUGGGUGUUGGAAAGUUUCGGCGGUUGGGGAUGGACUCGCGGCUUAUCAGCGUGUUGGUGGGGUAGUGGCUUACCAAGGCUUUGACGGGUAGCCGGCCUGAGAGGGUGACCGGCCACAUUGGGACUGAGAUACGGCCCAGACUCCUACGGGAGGCAGCAGUGGGGAAUAUUGCACAAUGGGCGGAAGCCUGAUGCAGCAACGCCGCGUGCGGGAUGACGGCCUUCGGGUUGUAAACCGCUUUCGCCUGUGACGAAGCGUGAGUGACGGUAAUGGGUAAAGAAGCACCGGCUAACUACGUG
This 468-nucleotide ribosomal RNA is filed under the name uncultured bacterium. RNAcentral describes it as "partial 16S ribosomal RNA". It matches the Rfam family "Bacterial small subunit ribosomal RNA", at positions 28 to 507 of the family's 1533-position model. The record is from RNAcentral.